GAUGAACGCUGGCGGCGUGCCUAAUACAUGCAAGUCGAGCGAACAGACGAGGAGCUUGCUCCUCUGACGUUAGCGGCGCACGGGUGAGUAACACGUGUAUAACCCACCUAUAAGACUGGGAUCACUUCGGGAAACCGGCGCUAAUCCCGGAUAAUAUCUUGCACCGCAUGGUUCAUUAGUGAAUGUCGGUUUUGCUGUCUCUUCUAGCUGGAUCCGCGCCGCAUUAGCUAGUUGGUACGGUAACGGCUUACCAAGGCAACGAUGCGUUGCCGACGUGCGAGGGGGAUCGGCCACACGGGAGCGUAAACACGGUCCAGGCGCCUGCGGGAGGCAGCAGAAGGGUAUGGUCCGCAAUAGGCGAAAGCCUGACAGAGCGACGCCGCGUGAGUUAUGAAGAUCUUCGGAGCGUAAAACUCUGUUAUGAGUGAAGAACAAAUGUGUAAGUAACUAUGCACGUCUUGACGGUACCGAAUCAGAAAGCCACGGCUAACUACGUG
This 497-nucleotide ribosomal RNA is filed under the name uncultured bacterium. RNAcentral's name for it is "partial 16S ribosomal RNA". It matches the Rfam family "Bacterial small subunit ribosomal RNA", at positions 28 to 507 of the family's 1533-position model. The record is from RNAcentral.